CUAAAUGUUUUAAAAAGUGCAAGUGAGUCCAAAUAAUUAUUAAAAGACAUAAUAGUACAAAACGUCCCUACAUCUGGCAUGUAGUGUGCAAAACGUCCCUACAUUUCAAAUUGAUGAAAAUGACGUUUUUUGCAAUGAAACAUGAAAAUAGGGAUGAAAAUAUUAAAAAAAAAAUAAAAAUUGAAACAUAUGGACGUUUUCCGCAAUAAGUGUCAAAUGUAUGGAUGUUUUGUACUAUUAGACCUUAUUAAAAUUGAAACCAAUGCCAAACCGGUGAACCUCCAUACCAUUUACUCCGGCCACACCACCUGUUCUGGAGAGAUCCAUGUCAUUUCCAACACACCAAUUGACUAUACUCAUCAGGACGCUUCUCUUCAUGGUCUUUUCUUCUCCAAUGGGACUACCACCUUAGAAAUGAAAAAACUCCGACGACAUGGAGGUUUGGGCGAUGAUUGGUAGGAGUUUUUUCAUUUCUAAGGUGGCAGUCCCAUUUGGAGAAGAAGAGACCAUAAAAAGAAGUGCCCUGAUGAGUAUUGUCGAAUGGUGUGUUGGAAAUGACAUGGAUCUCUUCUAAACAGGUUGUGCCGCCGGAGUUUGGGUGAUGGUCUUUUGGAAAUGGUAUGGUGGUUCACCGGUUUGGCAAUGGUUUCAGUUUUAAUAAGGUCUAAUAGCACAAAACAUCCCUACAUUUGAUAUUUUUUGCGGAAAACGUCCCUACCUUUGACACUUCUUGCGAAAAACAUCCAUAUGUUUCAAUUUUUUUUUGCAUUUUCAUCUCUAUUUUCAC
RNAcentral lists this long non-coding RNA (787 nucleotides) under Olea europaea (common olive). Its description in RNAcentral is "long non-coding RNA (OEUR_LNC009286)". The record is from RNAcentral. Lineage: Eukaryota; Viridiplantae; Streptophyta; Magnoliopsida; Lamiales; Oleaceae.